GUGGGGAAUUUUGCGCAAUGGGCGAAAGCCUGACGCAGCGACGCCGCGUGAGGGAUGAAGGUCUUCGUGAUCGUAAACCUCUGUCAGGAAGGAUUAAAGCCCGGGUAUUAAUACCACCCGGUGUUUGACUUAACUUCCGGAGGAAGCCCCGGCUAACUACGUGCCAGCAGCCGCGGUAAUACGUAGGGGGCAAGCGUUACUCGGAUUCAUUGGGCGUAAAGCGAAUGUAGGCGGUUUUGUAAGUCAGGGGUGAAAUCCCUCAGCUCAACUGAGGAAUUGCCUUUGAUACUGCUUAACUUGAGGACAGGAGAGGAAAGUGGAAUUCCAGGUGUAGCGGUGGAAUGCGUAGAUAUCUGGAGGAACACCAGAGGCGAAGGCGGCUUUCUGGACUGGUCCUGACGCUGAGAUUCGAAAGCCAGGGGAGCAAACAGGAUUAGAAACCCUAGUAGUCC
This 452-nucleotide ribosomal RNA is filed under the name uncultured bacterium. RNAcentral describes it as "bacterial SSU rRNA". It matches the Rfam family "Bacterial small subunit ribosomal RNA", at positions 354 to 796 of the family's 1533-position model. The record is from RNAcentral.